UGUGUUCAUGCAGCCGCGCAUUUCCAAGAAAAAAAAAAAGAACAACGCCCUCCUCUCUGUUCUUCCCUCCCUCGCGCGUGAGUCUCUUUUUAUCAUCGAUUCCACUACGUUUCGUACAUUUUUUUUAGAGAGGGCAGAGAUUUGUACAAGAGAGCAGCGAUGUGGCGAAAUCUCAGGACCCCUCUCGUCCUCGAGGGGGAAUCGAACGGCUAUUCUUAUCUUUCCGUUAAAGAAUCGUACGAAUAUCGUACUGGUGACGUUUUCAGCCUUAUCCUUUAGGGGGAUUCCAAUUCGAAACGGGGGGCGAAAUAACGAAUUUGCCCCAGCCUUCUUCUGAUUUUCCCCCGCCAUCGUAACCCGAAAACCCUAGUAAUUCCCCCUAUAAAUACCCUUCUCCCCAAUGGUUUUGGAGGUGUGGAAUUUUGGGAUUGGAUUUUUGAUUUCUUAGUUUAAAUUUCGGGAAAUAUUUUAUCUUGGUUGAGAAGAUUCCUGGUGAGAAAUACUCAUAACACACAAAGCGGAUACCGAGAGGAGUGCAUACACACAGAACUCUAGCUCGAUUUGAGGUCUAAGAUUCGUCUUCCCAGCGUCCGGUUUGUUUCUUUCUACUUCGAAGUUUUGUAGCAAAGCCAUCACCUCCUCACUCGUGUUGUUCUAUUUCGCUUCUCCGAAAAGGUAACAUUUCUUCCUCGACGACAUUCUUUUCAUAUUUUGGUCUUCCAGUGUUAAGAAUCACUGUUUUUUUGUGGUUGGUUGGUAGACGUGUGUUGCUGAGUUUAUAAUGUCCUAGUGUGAUCCAGUGACUUGGUUGAGCUGAAUCAUUUGAUAUUUGCGUAUAUUGUUGUGGUUUCCCUGUUCCUCUCUUCAAGUGGCUUUGUCAUUUGUCCUUUUGUUUGCUGGUUCGAUGCGGCAGUUCAUUUAGUUUCAUUCUCAUUUUUCUUAAGCACCAUAGAGUGUUAUUCACUUGAUCGUUUUUCUUUGAAAUUAGGGCAGACCUCAAACUAGUUGGUAUGAAGGACAUUCAUCAUUCUAUUUCUUGUUUGAUUGACAUAGUAGAUGGUUUUCUUCAUUUUUUUAUUCUUUUCUUAACCUUAGGAUGGUUGUAUAAUACAAUAUGCUCUGUUCGAAGUUGAAUCUUUGCUUCUAUUUUGUUUAAGUUUUGUCAAAUCUUAACCAUUUUAGUUGAGUUUGGGGAAUGUAAGUUCAUUACAUUUUGCUCAAAGAUUCAUAAUGCAAUCCUAGUCCCAUGUUUGGCCUUAGUUUCAUGAUGUUGUUUCAUAGCUUCCCUUUUAAAGUUUCGGAUGCUUAGAUAAAUCACAGUGGGGUGAGAAUUGUUUUCCACCUAGGUUUAUUUUGUUGUGAUUUGUUCAUCUCUUCCUCUUCUAAUAUGUAAAGCGGCAUGUUGCCUUUUCCACUUGGCUCUUGAUUCAAUUUCUUCAUCUGCAUAUUGGUAUUAAUAAGUGUCUCUUUAAUCGUUGACUUGGCUUGGAAGCGAUAUUGUCAUCUUUAAACUGCAUGGGUGGUGUUUCCAACUGUAGCAAGUUCUUUUUCUCAUUGUUUCUCCCCCCUAACUUCCAAUGGCCUGGUCAUUGAUGUCAAAGAGAGGAGCUACUGCUAAUUAACUGAACAUGUAAGGUUAAAUCUCCUUAUUUCAUCCCGUUUUAUUUUAUUCCAUCUUUUGUUGUAUCUAUUUAUUUUAUUUUUAUGAUAAGUUAGUCACUAGAUUGUGUGUUGUGGAAGCUAUAUUUCCUCUUUGAUGCUUUUCCAUUUGUCGUUGAUCAUUAUGUGGUGUAUAGGUGAAGACUAUCUUUCGUUUCGUUUUUAAUAUCUCUAUCUUGUUUUAUUGCAUGUGAAAAUUCUUCUCGAGUCCUCAUUGGACUUUGUUCCGUCUCGCUGCACUUCCUCAUCGAGCCAUAAAGGCUCAGAACAUCUUCGUCGAGUCUUAGAUUGCUUCAAAACUGGAAUACAGAUCGAAAUAUGGCAAUAUGUGUUGCUGGAAAUUACAGUUUGCAGAUAUUGAGAAGCUGUAUACCAGCUAUAUACACAGUUUAUACCAUGAUAUACAGGUUGAAAUGUGUACAGGAGGCCAAAAUUUGAAAUCUGGCUUGAUAGCAGUGAAAAUACGCUGCUGAAAGUGGAUUUUUCAAGAUGAAUACUUCGAUUUUGAUGAGACAUUCCGGAAUUUGGGUGAACAAAUUGCAGAAUGAAAGUUACAAAAUCGACGGAAUCGUUGUUGGAGAUUCAAUUUCGUAUCUAAUACAUGUAUCAGAAACGUCGACUAAACAAUAUACACACUGAUUCUAUAUGUAUCAUCAAGUACAGUUGAUGACACAUUUAUUAAA
This is a long non-coding RNA of Solanum pennellii, 2342 nucleotides long. RefSeq lists it as uncharacterized. The transcript has 2 exons. Lineage: Eukaryota; Viridiplantae; Streptophyta; Magnoliopsida; Solanales; Solanaceae. The record is from RefSeq and is a predicted model, not a curated record.